Molecule: ribosomal RNA, 253 nt
Filed under: uncultured bacterium
Lineage: Bacteria
Description: partial 16S ribosomal RNA
Rfam family: Bacterial small subunit ribosomal RNA
Source: RNAcentral
UACAGAGGUCCCAAGCGUUGUUCGGAUUCACUGGGCGUAAAGGGUGCGUAGGUGGUGAGGUAAGUCGGAUGUGAAAGCUCGGAGCUCAACUCCGAAAUGGCAUUGGAAACUACCUUGCUCGAGGGUUGGAGGGGGGACUGGAAUGCUUGGUGUAACAGUGAAAUGCGUAGAUAUCAAGCGGAACACCAGUGGCGAAGGCGAGUCCCUGGACAACUCCUGACACUGAGGCACGAAAGCUAGGGGAGCAAACAGG